AAAAACAAAACCCCCCAACGCGUAAAUGCACCCAUUCCUCUUUUCUAUUUGCCUUUUCCAUUUACCCCCUUCUGUCUUUUGAUUCGCUGUGCACGUUCUGCCCAUCUCCCUCUCUCUCUCAUCUCUAAACUAAAAACCCACCUCAAUAUACACAAAACCCGAACACCAUGAGCUAUCACCGGUAACGCCCACCUCCGAGCCCCAACCCGAGCCAAACCCGGCCCAGUCCAGGCGCACCGCCAUUAGAAUCCGGCCCAUACAACAUAAUCCCCAUCCACAACCUCCUCGCGGAGCACCCAUCGCUCAGAUUCCCGGAGGUCCGAGUCAUUACCACCGCGCUCUGAGCUGUCGACGACCUCAGGAAGCCGCCGCACAACCAAUGGCCAGUUUUUCAUUGUUCUUGUCUCUUGAUGCAAGUUGUUAUUGGUAUAACCAAAACACUACAGCGAUACCAGCAAUCUUGCUUCGCUCCUCAGGAUAACAGCAUGAAACGUGAAGCACAGAAGGAUUAGGUGCAAACGGUAGGAUGGUUAAGGAAUUGAAGAAGUUACUUCCAUAUCUCAGGUCCAACCUCGGUGCACACUGCAAUGAUGGUACUAGUAGAGAUGAAGAGGACAACUCAGUCAAUAACAUGAGGGAGGUUGAAAACAGCUUGGAGGGUAACUCAGAGGAAAACUAGUUCAGGAUUUUUUUGUAUAUUCUAUAUUUUAAAGUUUGAACUUAUAUGAAUUUUUACCUUUCAACUGAUCAA
Molecule: long non-coding RNA, 751 nt
Organism: Quercus robur (English oak)
Lineage: Eukaryota; Viridiplantae; Streptophyta; Magnoliopsida; Fagales; Fagaceae
Exons: 4
Source: RefSeq, a predicted model, not a curated record